UAGGGAAUCUUAGGCAAUGGACGAAAGUCUGACCGAGCAACGCCGCGUGAGUGAAGAAGGUUUUCGGAUCGUAAAACUCUGUUGUUAGAGAAGAACAAGGACGGUAGUAACUGAACGUCCCCUGACGGUAUCUAACCAGAAAGCCACGGCUAACUACGUGCCAGCAGCCGCGGUAAUACGUAGGUGGCAAGCGUUGUCCGGAUUUAUUGGGCGUAAAGCGAGCGCAGGCGGUUUCUUAAGUCUGAUGUGAAAGCCCCCGGCUCAACCGGGGAGGGUCAUUGGAAACUGGGAGACUUGAGUGCAGAAGAGGAGAGUGGAAUUCCAUGUGUAGCGGUGAAAUGCGUAGAUAUAUGGAGGAACACCAGUGGCGAAGGCGGCUCUCUGGUCUGUAACUGACGCUGAGGCUCGAAAGCGUGGGGAGCAAACAGG
Molecule: ribosomal RNA, 429 nt
Filed under: Gemmatimonadota bacterium
Lineage: Bacteria; Pseudomonadati; Gemmatimonadota
Description: Gemmatimonadetes bacterium partial 16S ribosomal RNA
Rfam family: Bacterial small subunit ribosomal RNA
Source: RNAcentral